Molecule: non-coding RNA, 30 nt
Filed under: Cricetulus griseus (Chinese hamster)
Lineage: Eukaryota; Metazoa; Chordata; Mammalia; Rodentia; Cricetidae
Source: RNAcentral
GGAAAAUGGACAUUAAAAACGAAGACGAUG